This 253-nucleotide ribosomal RNA is filed under the name uncultured bacterium. RNAcentral describes it as "partial 16S ribosomal RNA". It matches the Rfam family "Bacterial small subunit ribosomal RNA", at positions 524 to 776 of the family's 1533-position model. The record is from RNAcentral.
UACGUAGGGUGCAAGCGUUAAUCGGAAUUACUGGGCGUAAAGCGUGCGCAGGCGGCUAUUUAAGCUUGCUGUGAAAGCCCCGGGCUUAACCUGGGAACUGCAGUGAGGACUGGAUGGCUGGAGUGUGGCAGAGGGGGGUGGAAUUCCACGUGUAGCAGUGAAAUGCGUAGAGAUGUGGAGGAACACCGAUGGCGAAGGCAGCCCCCUGGGCUAACACUGACGCUCAGGCACGAAAGCGUGGGGAGCAAACAGG